AUUGAACGCUGGCGGCGUGCCUAACACAUGCAAGUCGAACGUGAAAGUUCCUUCGGGGGCGAGUAAAGUGGCGCACGGGUGAGUAACGCGUGGGUAAUCUACCAUAAAGUUGGGAAUAACGGCUGGAAACGGUCGCUAAUACCGAAUACGCUCUGGAAUUUAUCUUCUGGGGGAAAGGGGGCCUCUGCAUAUGCUCCUGCUUAAUGAUGAGCCCGCGUCCCAUUAGCUAGUUGGUAGGGUAAAGGCCUACCACGGCGACGAUGGGGCGCCGGUCUGGGAGGAUAACCGGCCACACUGGGACUGGAACACGGCCCAGACUCCGCCGGGAGGCAGCAGUGGGGAAUAGUGCGCAAUGGGCGAAAGCCUGACGCAGCGACGCCGCGUGAGGGAUGAAGGCCUUCGGGUCGUAAACCUCUGUCAGGGGGGAAGAACGGCACUCGUGCUAAUCAGCGAGUGAUUGACGGUACCCCCAAAGGAAGCACCGGCCAACUCCGUGCCAGCAGCCGCGGUAAUAC
RNAcentral lists this ribosomal RNA (515 nucleotides) under uncultured bacterium. RNAcentral's name for it is "bacterial SSU rRNA". It matches the Rfam family "Bacterial small subunit ribosomal RNA", at positions 29 to 526 of the family's 1533-position model. The record is from RNAcentral.